UACGAAGGGGGCUAGCGUUGCUCGGAAUUACUGGGCGUAAAGCGCACGUAGGCGGCUCUUUAAGUCGGGGGUGAAAUCCUGGAGCUCAACUCCAGAACUGCCUUCGAUACUGAAGAGCUUGAGUCCGGGAGAGGUGAGUGGAACUGCGAGUGUAGAGGUGAAAUUCGUAGAUAUUCGCAAGAACACCAGUGGCGAAGGCGGCUCACUGGCCCGGUACUGACGCUGAGGUGCGAAAGCCAGGGGAGCGAACGGG
Molecule: ribosomal RNA, 253 nt
Filed under: uncultured bacterium
Lineage: Bacteria
Description: partial 16S ribosomal RNA
Rfam family: Bacterial small subunit ribosomal RNA
Source: RNAcentral